GUUUUGUUCCGAAGCAAAGAUAUCCGCGGAGGCCGGUUCGUUCGUCCUAUUCUGAUAUGCAAGACCAAGAGGUACUGGAUUCUCUUUCGGAUAGGCCCUGGAAGGAGAAGAAAGGCUGAAAUGCCAACGGACCUCUGUCUAUUCUCUAAUUCACCCGAUCUGAUAGUACCCGUUUUUGGAACGUCCAGUGCCAAAGUCACUGAGUGGGUAAGUCACCAAUCCAAUCCCUUUGACAAAUCGGAUGUCAUAUUAGAUAUCAUAUUCUAUAUAUAGAGAGAAAUAUCAUACAUAUAA
RNAcentral lists this ribosomal RNA (294 nucleotides) under Triticum aestivum (bread wheat). Its description in RNAcentral is "partial small subunit ribosomal RNA". Lineage: Eukaryota; Viridiplantae; Streptophyta; Magnoliopsida; Poales; Poaceae. The record is from RNAcentral.